Molecule: ribosomal RNA, 889 nt
Filed under: uncultured bacterium
Lineage: Bacteria
Description: bacterial SSU rRNA
Rfam family: Bacterial small subunit ribosomal RNA
Source: RNAcentral
GUGCCAGCCGCCGCGGUAAUACGGAAGGUCCGGGCGUUAUCCGGAUUUAUUGGGUUUAAAGGGAGCGUAGGCCGCUUUUUAAGCGUGUUGUGAAAUGUAGAUGCUCAACAUCUGCACUGCAGCGCGAACUGGAAAGCUUGAGUGCGCUGGAAGUUGGCGGAAUUCGUUGUGUAGCGGUGAAAUGCUUAGAUAUGACGAAGAACUCCGAUUGCGAAGGCAGCUGACUGUCGCGUAACUGACGCUGAAGCUCGAAAGUGCGGGUAUCGAACAGGAUUAGAUACCCUGGUAGUCCGCACGGUAAACGAUGGAUGCUCGCUGUGUGCCUUUAUGGUACGUGGCCAAGCGAAAGCAUUAAGCAUCCCACCUGGGGAGUACGCCGGCAACGGUGAAACUCAAAGGAAUUGACGGGGGCCCGCACAAGCGGAGGAACAUGUGGUUUAAUUCGAUGAUACGCGAGGAACCUUACCCGGGCUUGAACUGCCAGUGAACGAUACAGAGAUGUUGAGGCCCUUCGGGGCGCUGGUGGAGGUGCUGCAUGGUUGUCGUCAGCUCGUGCCGUGAGGUGUCGGCUUAAGUGCCAUAACGAGCGCAACCCCUUUUCUUAGUUGCCAUCAGGUUUAGGCUGGGCACUCUGGGAAUACUGCCACCGUAAGGUGUGAGGAAGGUGGGGAUGACGUCAAAUCAGCACGGCCCUUACGUCCGGGGCUACACACGUGUUACAAUGGCGCAUACAGAGAGUUGGUUUAUGGUAACAUAGAUCUAAUCAUUAAAAUGCGUCGUAGUUCGGAUUGGGGUCUGCAACCCGACCCCAUGAAGCUGGAUUCGCUAGUAAUCGCGCAUCAGCCAUGGCGCGGUGAAUACGUUCCCGGGCCUUGUACACACCGCCCGU